CACCUCGCCGCGCUCUGAUUGGAGGAUGGCUCCGGGCGGGAGCUCGGGGGUAAACAAAGCGGUGUCGUCUUUUCUCCGCAGCCAUUGCGGAAGGCCUUUUCUGUUGCUCUCGGAAAUCCACUGCUAGUGCUUGAACGAAGACGCGGCAUACAGAAAAAAGAGACCGGAAAUACCUCGAAAUGUACGUUACUUCGUUUGACGCGAAAGAAUUUACCCUGGGAGCAUACGAAGCACCAAUAUGCGUCCCGGUCUUCGGCGGUGAGAUGUUGAUGUGAGCCCCCCCCCCAACGUCAGCACGGUGAUGUGCGACGCGAGUGAGCCUUUCUACUUUUUGGCGGAGACCCCUUUUCGCCAGCAAGUGUCUCGGUGUUUCCGUGAAGCACCGAAGUGUAGCUACAGCCCUCUUCGGCGAGCUGAACGGGCUGCCGAGCUUUCGAAGGCCGAUCUCCCGCAGCGCUGGAACCCGGAGAACCGCGCCAUGGCGCUCGCUGAGAAUCCACCGGCUGCCGGGCUACUGAAAGGGCCCUCUGCUCGGAGGACAUGUUGCGGGCCCUGUGUAAUGCCCUCGGCGCCUGUGCGACUUCAGGGGGUCUGCGUUUCACGGCCCCGUUACCAGCUGGGAAAUUCUCCAUGGAGGGGACGACAUCCUGUCCAGCACCAGCUUCACCAUCUGGGACCAAGUGCACGAGGGGUCGCACUGCAAGCAGAUGAAAGGAGGGCACUGCAACCUUGAGGUCAAGCUUGUACAUCUACCAUUACAGUCCUGAAUGGAUGCCAAUUGGUACUGAUGACCUUAUGAAGGUGAAACGUCCCUGGAUCUAAAGGGAAAAUUUGAUUGAAGGCGAGCUGAAGUUGUUUCUGACUUUAUCCUCUUAUGACUUGAAAGUAAUCUGCCUACUUCAUGAAUAUUGAAGAUGCAGAAUUUGUUUCCGUAACUGUCCCACUUCAACGUAAUGUGCACAUUGAAACCUGUUCCUUUUCUUUUUCUGCUUUCCGGCGAGAAAAAAAAGCCAACGAAUCUCCCUUUUCCUUCUCGCAAUGGGGAGGUGUGCAAGACUGAUUGCAUAUUUUAUAUAAGCAAUCAGUUUCAUAAGUGAAUGAAGAUAAAAGCAGAAUACAUGUUCACAGAUUAUUUGUGAAUUCUUAGACUUGCUGAAGUGAGUAGUUCAUGUUCGAGUCAUGUAAUUAUGAAGUCAAAACCAGAUUUAGUGCAUUUUUAAGAAGCCUUUUAGACCUGAGAGUUCUGUUUUGACUCGGCAAUAUACAACUCACCUUUGUUAUUCCUAUAGCACAGCCGAAACUAUAAACAUGAGCAUGUUGCCUGACCAAUGCUUGAACUGCUGUGAAAUCGACGAAGUCCCUAUCCUUCGAGAACAAGUGUCAACGGGGAAUAGUCGAAAGACCAGGGUCAAGUAUGCACACACAUACUUGAUUUCAAGCUUGCAGAUUGAAAUAAUUGUUUAUUGAAUCAUAUCCAUUCUUAAACCUGUUUGAGAUUGUAUUGGUUCAUAUUCACAGUAUAUUUAUUUUUCAUUUCACCAAAGAAUAAUUUAGAGACAGAUGUUGGUGUUCAGGCGUGAUGCUUUUAUUUUUGUCACAUGCAAGAGGGCAAAAAAUUAGAUUCGGCUUUGUAAACUGAUUUUUUUAUGUAUUCUUCCAAACAGCAUAGCAAAGAAUAAUAUAAGGGCUACAGCUGCGAGAGUUGCUACACCUGGCAUCUCAUUUGUUUUAUAGCGUGUACAGGUGAGACACUAUACUCCGUUUCUCGGUAAAUUGGCAAACAUUGUGACCCAAUAAGAGCAUCGGAGCCAGGCACGUGACAACACUCCACGGUCGAGUCCUCGUUAUUGCCACAGCAAGAGCGCCAUCUGCGACAAAACAUAGUUCUAGGCUUUGUUUUUUCUUCUUCUUUUAGUAGUGUUGCCGUCGGAUUCUUCGGACCGCAACACUACACGACACUGAAGAAAGACGAAGACACAUGUUACUGAUUAGCGACACUUAAUAUAGAUCAACACUUUUUUGAGAAAAACAUGGCUUGUGAUCGAAGUUCAAACAAUCGUAGCCGUGAAUCGACCACUUCCGCUCAAAACAUCGCCCUAGCAUUAGCACCCGCCACAGAUUCAUGGGCAAAUUGAGCAUGUGGUUGUAAGACGACAGCCGGUUCUGGCGGGUGGUCCUUGCAUUUGGCGCGGUGACACGAACGCUCCUGUGACAUGCGUCCAUGUGCCUCGCUCCGACAUUCUUACUGGGUCGCAGAAGCCGUAGCCUCCACAGUUCACCAAGCUAUCGUGAAACAGAAUGUAGAGUAAGUUGCCUGCGUGCUAAUGAAAGUAGCCUUGCCAGCAUCAUGUAUUAUGUAUGAAACACUGUAUACUUCGAGAAAACAAAUAAAGCCAUUCAACCUUUCCA
RNAcentral lists this long non-coding RNA (2409 nucleotides) under Ixodes scapularis (black-legged tick). RNAcentral's name for it is "uncharacterized LOC120843025". Lineage: Eukaryota; Metazoa; Arthropoda; Arachnida; Ixodida; Ixodidae. The record is from RNAcentral.